RNAcentral lists this small nuclear RNA (108 nucleotides) under Spermophilus dauricus (Daurian ground squirrel). Lineage: Eukaryota; Metazoa; Chordata; Mammalia; Rodentia; Sciuridae. The record is from RNAcentral.
GUGCUCCUUGCAGCAGCACAUAUACCUAAAACUGGAAUGAUGCAGAGAAGAUUAGCACAGACCCUGGGCAAGGAUGACACACAAGUUUGUGAAUGUUCGAUAUUUUUU